Molecule: ribosomal RNA, 157 nt
Filed under: Candidatus Saccharimonadota bacterium
Lineage: Bacteria; Candidatus Saccharimonadota
Description: partial 23S ribosomal RNA
Rfam family: Bacterial large subunit ribosomal RNA
Source: RNAcentral
AAAAAGGUAAUUAAGGGCACUGAUAGUGGAUGCCUUGACAAUCAAUACCGAUGAAGGCCGUAGAAGUCUGCGAUAAGCCUCGGGGAUCUGACAGCGAGAAAUGAUCCGGGGAUUGCCGAAUGGGGAAACCUAAUAUGGGUCAUGCCAUAUUGUCGCU